This 130-nucleotide small nucleolar RNA is filed under the name Monopterus albus (swamp eel). Its description in RNAcentral is "Small nucleolar RNA SNORA27 (ENSMALG00000021844.1)". Lineage: Eukaryota; Metazoa; Chordata; Actinopteri; Synbranchiformes; Synbranchidae. The record is from RNAcentral.
GACCCCAUCCUCACUUUGCCACCAGGAUUCCUUGUGUCCUCAGUGGUCAUUCAUAUGGGGGAAAAUAUUUUGUCCUUAAGCACGCCAGUCAGACUCAAGUUUGACCUGGGGUUGCAUUGAGGAGACAGAA